GCGAAAGCGUGGGGAGCAAACAGGAUUAGAUACCCUGGUAGUCCACGCCCUAAACGAUGUACACUAGUUGUUGGGGUGCUAGUCAUCUCAGUAAUGCAGCUAACGCAUUAAGUGUACCGCCUGGGGAGUACGGUCGCAAGAUUAAAACUCAAAGGAAUAGACGGGGACCCGCACAAGCGGUGGAGCAUGUGGUUUAAUUCGAAGAUACGCGAAGAACCUUACCUGGGCUUGAUAUCCUAAGAACCUUUUAGAGAUAAGAGGGUGCUAGCUUGCUAGAACUUAGAGACAGGUGCUGCACGGCUGUCGUCAGCUCGUGUCGUGAGAUGUUGGGUUAAGUCCCGCAACGAGCGCAACCCACGUAUUUAGUUGCUAACGGUUCGGCCGAGCACUCUAAAUAGACUGCCUUCGUAAGGAGGAGGAAGGUGUGGACGACGUCAAGUCAUCAUGGCCCUUAUGCCCAGGGCGACACACGUGCUACAAUGGCAUAUACAAUGAGACGCAAUACCGCGAGGUGGAGCAAAUCUAUAAAAUAUGUCCCAGUUCGGAUUGUUCUCUGCAACUCGAGAGCAUGAAGCCGGAAUCGCUAGUAAUCGUAGAUCAGCCAUGCUACGGUGAAUACGUUCCCGGGUCUUGUACUCACCGCCCGUCACACCAUGGGAGUUGAUUUCACUCGAAGCCGGAAUACUAAACUAGUUACCGUCCACAGUGGAAUCAGCGACUGGGGUGAAGUCGUAACAAGGUAACCGUAGGAGAACCUGCGGUUGGAUCACCUCCUUUCUA
Molecule: ribosomal RNA, 780 nt
Filed under: Campylobacter coli
Lineage: Bacteria; Pseudomonadati; Campylobacterota; Epsilonproteobacteria; Campylobacterales; Campylobacteraceae
Also listed under: 1 other name
Description: bacterial SSU rRNA
Rfam family: Bacterial small subunit ribosomal RNA
Source: RNAcentral